AAUUCGGGUCGAAUCGUUCUAAAGCGGGGCCCAUUAACGAAUCCAAUAAUCAGGACCCAUCGUCUUCAUCAGACCGCACGAAUCUUAAAGCUCCUUCUUCUUUCUUCAAUCCCGUUCGAAUUGCCCAACGAAGAUUUCCCGUUCUGAUAGCGAGGUUUCUCUCUGAGCCAGCUCUACGAAGAAGAGAUUCACUGAUCAAGUUUCGGCGGAGAGAAGUAACAUGAUGAACGCCUUACAGAUUUAGAGCUUUUCCAGAAGUCAUGCUGCUUGGUCUUGAUUGGGAUGCUGGUUUUGGUUUCACUUCAACUUGAUUGGCCAGUGGAGGACCCCUGAAAUGAAAUGGCAUUGCUCGUUCAUGAUACACUAGGCACCCUUCGGAGAAAGAUAUGAGAUACCCAUAUGUUUUCGAUGGAUGCUGAAAGCGGCAGCAUAAAGAUGGAAGGGUGAAAGAUGCAGAUGAGAUUUUCAUGACACACGUGCUCCUAUGUAAAUUUAUACAUUUAUGUCUGUGUUUAUUUGUACAUAUAAGUUUAUAAACACAUUGAAUGGCGUCUUUCUCGUCGUCAUUUAAUUUCUUUGUUUCAUUUGUUUGGAUCCAUAUUUUAUCAAUGUUUUUUUUUGUCGGUAACACUUUUCUUUGUUUCAUUUGGUUCUUUAUUGUUAUUAUUUAUUUAACACAGUCAAAACAUAUGCUGUUGGCUCCUUUCGAGAGCUGUUGUACGACUACUCAU
Molecule: long non-coding RNA, 731 nt
Organism: Asparagus officinalis (garden asparagus)
Lineage: Eukaryota; Viridiplantae; Streptophyta; Magnoliopsida; Asparagales; Asparagaceae
Exons: 4
Source: RefSeq, a predicted model, not a curated record